RNAcentral lists this ribosomal RNA (468 nucleotides) under uncultured bacterium. RNAcentral describes it as "partial 16S ribosomal RNA". It matches the Rfam family "Bacterial small subunit ribosomal RNA", at positions 28 to 507 of the family's 1533-position model. The record is from RNAcentral.
GACGAACGCUGGCGGCGUGCUUAACACAUGCCAGUCGAACGGAAAGGCCCUGCUUUUGUGGGGUGCUCGAGUGGCGAACGGGUGAGUAACACGUGAGUAACCUGCCCUUGACUUUGGGAUAACUUCAGGAAACUGGGGCUAAUACCGGAUAGGAGCUCCUGCUGCAUGGUGGGGGUUGGAAAGUUUCGGCGGUUGGGGAUGGACUCGCGGCUUAUCAGCUUGUUGGUGGGGUAGUGGCUUACCAGGGCUUUGACGGGUAGCCGGCCUGAGAGGGUGACCGGCCACAUUGGGACUGAGAUACGGCCCAGACUCCUACGGGAGGCAGCAGUGGGGAAUAUUGCACAAUGGGCGGAAGCCUGAUGCAGCAACGCCGCGUGCGGGAUGACGGCCUUCGGGUUGUAAACCGCUUUCGCCUGUGACGAAGCGUGAGUGACGGUAAUGGGUAAAGAAGCACCGGCUAACUACGUG